This 468-nucleotide ribosomal RNA is filed under the name uncultured bacterium. Its description in RNAcentral is "partial 16S ribosomal RNA". It matches the Rfam family "Bacterial small subunit ribosomal RNA", at positions 28 to 507 of the family's 1533-position model. The record is from RNAcentral.
GACGAACGCUGGCGGCGUGCUUAACACAUGCAAGUCGAACGGCAAGGCCCUGCUUUUGUGGGGUGCUCGAGUGGCGAUCGGGUGAGUAACACGUGAGUAACCUGCCCUAGACUUUGGGAUAGCUUCAGGAAAGUGGGCCUAAUCUCGGAUAGGAGCUCCUGCUGCAUGGUAGGGGUUGGAACGUUUCGGCGGUCGGGGAUGGACUCGCGGCUUAUCAGCUUGUUGGUGGGGUAGUGGCUUACCAAGCCUUUGACGGGUCGCCGGCCUGUGAGGGUGACCGGCCACAUUGGGACUGAGAGACGGCCCAGACUCCUACGGGAGGCAGCAGUGGGGAAUAUUGCACAAUGGGCGGAAGCCUGAUGCAGCAACGCCGCGUUCGGGAUGACGGCCUUCGGGUUGUAAACCGCUUUCGCCUGUGACGAAGCGUGAGUGACGGUAAUGGGUAAAGAAGCACCGGCUAACUACGUG